Molecule: ribosomal RNA, 465 nt
Filed under: Vreelandella stevensii
Lineage: Bacteria; Pseudomonadati; Pseudomonadota; Gammaproteobacteria; Oceanospirillales; Halomonadaceae
Description: partial 16S ribosomal RNA
Rfam family: Bacterial small subunit ribosomal RNA
Source: RNAcentral
CCUACGGGGGGCUGCAGUGGGGAAUAUUGGACAAUGGGGGGAACCCUGAUCCAGCCAUGCCGCGUGUGUGAAGAAGGCCCUCGGGUUGUAAAGCACUUUCAGUGAGGAAGAACGCCUGGUGGUUAAUACCCAUCAGGAAAGACAUCACUCACAGAAGAAGCACCGGCUAACUCCGUGCCAGCAGCCGCGGUAAUACGGAGGGUGCGAGCGUUAAUCGGAAUUACUGGGCGUAAAGCGCGCGUAGGUGGCUUGAUAAGCCGGUUGUGAAAGCCCCGGGCUCAACCUGGGAACGGCCUCCGGAACUAUCAAGCUAGAGUGCAGGAGAGGAAGGUAGAAUUCCCGGUGUAGCGGUGAAAUGCGUAGAGAUCGGGAGGAAUACCAGUGGCGAAGGCGGCCUUCUGGACUGACACUGACACUGAGGUGCGAAAGCGUGGGUAGCAAACAGGAUUAGAUACCCCGGUAGUC